This 433-nucleotide ribosomal RNA is filed under the name uncultured bacterium. Its description in RNAcentral is "partial 16S ribosomal RNA". It matches the Rfam family "Bacterial small subunit ribosomal RNA", at positions 29 to 507 of the family's 1533-position model. The record is from RNAcentral.
AACGAACGCUGGCGGCAUGCCUAACACAUGCAAGUCGAACGAGACCUUCGGGUCUAGUGGCGCACGGGUGCGUAACGCGUGGGAACCUGCCCUUAGGUUCGGAAUAACUCCCCGAAAGGGGUGCUAAUACCGGAUAAUGUCUUCGGACCAAAGAUUUAUCGCCUUUGGAUGGGCCCGCGUUGGAUUAGCUAGUUGGUAGGGUAAAAACCUACCAAGGCGACGAUCCAUAGCUGGUCUGAGAGGAUGAUCAGCCACACUGGGACUGAGACACGGCCCAGACUCCUACGGGAGGCAGCAGUGGGGAAUAUUGGACAAUGGGCGAAAGCCUGAUCCAGCAAUGCCGCGUGAGUGAUGAAGGCCUUAGGAUUGUAAAGCUCUUUUACCCGGGAUGAUAAUGACAGUACCGGGAGAAUAAGCUCCGGCUAACUCCGUG